UUACCACUAACUGGGAACUGGGUUUGG
Molecule: non-coding RNA, 27 nt
Filed under: Mus musculus (house mouse)
Lineage: Eukaryota; Metazoa; Chordata; Mammalia; Rodentia; Muridae
Source: RNAcentral